GCCGCUGUGGUGAAAUUGGUAUACACGUACGCUUUAGGAGCGUAUGGAGUAAUCCGUGGAGGUUCGAGUCCUCUCAGCGGCA
This is a non-coding RNA of Candidatus Shapirobacteria bacterium RBG_13_44_7, 82 nucleotides long. The record is from Rfam. NCBI's taxonomy places the organism in Bacteria, Candidatus Shapironibacteriota.